This 957-nucleotide ribosomal RNA is filed under the name Escherichia coli. RNAcentral's name for it is "partial 23S ribosomal RNA". It matches the Rfam family "Bacterial large subunit ribosomal RNA", at positions 958 to 1898 of the family's 2925-position model. The record is from RNAcentral. Lineage: Bacteria; Pseudomonadati; Pseudomonadota; Gammaproteobacteria; Enterobacterales; Enterobacteriaceae.
GAAUACCGGAGAAUGUUAUCACGGGAGACACACGGCGGGUGCUAACGUCCGUCGUGAAGAGGGAAACAACCCAGACCGCCAGCUAAGGUCCCAAAGUCAUGGUUAAGUGGGAAACGAUGUGGGAAGGCCCAGACAGCCAGGAUGUUGGCUUAGAAGCAGCCAUCAUUUAAAGAAAGCGUAAUAGCUCACUGGUCGAGUCGGCCUGCGCGGAAGAUGUAACGGGGCUAAACCAUGCACCGAAGCUGCGGCAGCGACACUAUGUGUUGUUGGGUAGGGGAGCGUUCUGUAAGCCUGUGAAGGUGUACUGUGAGGUAUGCUGGAGGUAUCAGAAGUGCGAAUGCUGACAUAAGUAACGAUAAAGCGGGUGAAAAGCCCGCUCGCCGGAAGACCAAGGGUUCCUGUCCAACGUUAAUCGGGGCAGGGUGAGUCGACCCCUAAGGCGAGGCCGAAAGGCGUAGUCGAUGGGAAACAGGUUAAUAUUCCUGUACUUGGUGUUACUGCGAAGGGGGGACGGAGAAGGCUAUGUUGGCCGGGCGACGGUUGUCCCGGUUUAAGCGUGUAGGCUGGUUUUCCAGGCAAAUCCGGAAAAUCAAGGCUGAGGCGUGAUGACGAGGCACUACGGUGCUGAAGCAACAAAUGCCCUGCUUCCAGGAAAAGCCUCUAAGCAUCAGGUAACAUCAAAUCGUACCCCAAACCGACACAGGUGGUCAGGUAGAGAAUACCAAGGCGCUUGAGAGAACUCGGGUGAAGGAACUAGGCAAAAUGGUGCCGUAACUUCGGGAGAAGGCACGCUGAUAUGUAGGUGAAGUCCCUCGCGGAUGGAGCUGAAAUCAGUCGAAGAUACCAGCUGGCUGCAACUGUUUAUUAAAAACACAGCACUGUGCAAACACGAAAGUGGACGUAUACGGUGUGACGCCUGCCCGGUGCCGGAAGGUUAAUUGAUGGGGUUAGCCGCAA